CUACGGGGCGCAGCAGUGAGGAAUAUUGCACAAUGGGGGGAACCCUGAUGCAGCAACGCCGCGUGGAGGAUGACGCAUUUCGGUGUGUAAACUCCUUUUAUAUGUCAAGAAAAUGACGGUAGCAUAUGAAUAAGCACCGGCUAACUCCGUGCCAGCAGCCGCGGUAAUACGGAGGGUGCAAGCGUUACUCGGAAUCACUGGGCGUAAAGGACGCGUAGGCGGGUUGGAAAGUCAGGUGUGAAAUCCUACAGCUGUAACUGUAGAACUGCACUUGAAACUUCUAAUAUAGAGUAUGGGAGGGGGAGAUGGAAUUAGUGGUGUAGGGGUAAAAUCCGUAGAUAUCACUAGGAAUACCUAAAGCGAAGGCGAUCUCCUGGAACAUUACUGACGCUAAGGCGUGAAAGCGUGGGGAGCAAACAGGAUUAGAUACCCCCGUAGUC
Molecule: ribosomal RNA, 440 nt
Filed under: uncultured bacterium
Lineage: Bacteria
Description: partial 16S ribosomal RNA
Rfam family: Bacterial small subunit ribosomal RNA
Source: RNAcentral